This 787-nucleotide ribosomal RNA is filed under the name uncultured bacterium. Its description in RNAcentral is "bacterial SSU rRNA". It matches the Rfam family "Bacterial small subunit ribosomal RNA", at positions 95 to 883 of the family's 1533-position model. The record is from RNAcentral.
CCGGCGCACGGGUGAGUAACGCGUAUCCAACCUGCCCACCACUUGGGGAUAACCUUGCGAAAGUAAGACUAAUACCCAAUGACGUCUCUAGAAGACAUCUGAAAGGGAUUAAAGAUUUAUCGGUGAUGGAUGGGGAUGCGUCUGAUUAGCUUGUUGGCGGGGUAACGGCCCACCAAGGCGACGAUCAGUAGGGGUUCUGAGAGGAAGGUCCCCCACAUUGGAACUGAGACACGGUCCAAACUCCUACGGGAGGCAGCAGUGAGGGAUAUUGGUCAAUGGACGAGAGUCUGAACCAGCCAAGUAGCGUGCAGGAAGACGGCCCUAUGGGUUGUAAACUGCUUUUAUAAGGGAAUAAAGUGAGUCUCGUGAGACUUUUUGCAUGUACCUUAUGAAUAAGGACCGGCUAAUUCCGUGCCAGCAGCCGCGGUAAUACGGAAGGUCCGGGCGUUAUCCGGAUUUAUUGGGUUUAAAGGGAGCGUAGGCCGGAGAUUAAGCGUGUUGUGAAAUGUAGACGCUCAACGUCUGCACUGCAGCGCGAACUGGUUUCCUUGAGUACGCACAAAGUGGGCGGAAUUCGUGGUGUAGCGGUGAAAUGCUUAGAUAUCACGAAGAACUCCGAUUGCGAAGGCAGCUCACUGGAGCGCAACUGACGCUGAAGCUCGAAAGUGCGGGUAUCGAACAGGAUUAGAUACCCUGGUAGUCCGCACGGUAAACGAUGGAUGCCCGCUGUUGGUCUGAAUAGGUCAGCGGCCAAGCGAAAGCAUUAAGCAUCCCACCUGGGGAGUAC